Molecule: ribosomal RNA, 440 nt
Filed under: uncultured bacterium
Lineage: Bacteria
Description: partial 16S ribosomal RNA
Rfam family: Bacterial small subunit ribosomal RNA
Source: RNAcentral
CUACGGGUCGCUGCAGUAGGGAAUUUUGCGCAAUGGGCGAAAGCCUGACGCAGCAACACCGCGUGAACGAUGACGCUUUUCGGAGUGUAAAGUUCUGUCAGUGGGGACGAAUUUUGACGGUACCCACAGAGGAAGCACCGGCUAACUCCGUGCCAGCAGCCGCGGUAAUACGGAGGGUGCAAGCGUUGUCCGGAAUCAUUGGGCGUAAAGAGUUCGUAGGUGGUAUGUUAAGUCUGGUGUUAAAGCCCGAAGCUCAACUUCGGUUCGGCACUGGAUACUGGCAAACUUGAAUGUGGUAGAGGUAAAGGGAAUUCCUGGUGUAGCGGUGAAAUGCGUAGAUAUCAGGAGGAACAUCGGUGGCGUAAGCGCUUUACUGGGCCAUAAUUGACACUGAGGAACGAAAGCCGGGGUAGCAAAUGGGAUUAGAUACCCCCGUAGUC